UAACCUGCCCAAGAGACUGGGAUAAUACCUGGAAACAGAUGCUAAUACCGGAUAACAACACUAGACGCAUGUCUAGAGUUUAAAAGAUGGUUCUGCUAUCACUCUUGGAUGGACCUGCGGUGCAUUAGCUAGUUGGUAAGGUAACGGCUUACCAAGGCAAUGAUGCAUAGCCGAGUUGAGAGACUGAUCGGCCACAUUGGGACUGAGACACGGCCCAAACUCCUACGGGAGGCAGCAGCG
This 240-nucleotide ribosomal RNA is filed under the name uncultured bacterium. RNAcentral describes it as "partial 16S ribosomal RNA". It matches the Rfam family "Bacterial small subunit ribosomal RNA", at positions 122 to 356 of the family's 1533-position model. The record is from RNAcentral.